CCUGGGAACUGCGUUNUGAACUGGGUGACUAGAGUGUGUCAGAGGGAGGUAGAAUUCCACGUGUAGCAGUGAAAUGCGUAGAGAUGUGGAGGAAUACCGAUGGCGAAGGCAGCCUCCUGGGAUAACACUGACGUUCAUGCCCGAAAGCGUGGGUAGCAAACAGGAUUAGAUACCCUGGUAGUNCACGCCCUAAACGAUGUCGAUUAGCUGUUGGGCAGCAUGACUGCUUAGUAGCGAAGCUAACGCGUGAAAUCGACCGCCUGGGGAGUACGGUCGCAAGAUUAAAACUCAAAGGAAUUGACGGGGACCCGCACAAGCGGUGGAUGAUGUGGAUUAAUUCGAUGCAACGCGAAGANCCUUACCUGGUCUUGACAUGUACGGAACCCUCCAGAGACGGAGGAGUGCCUUCGGGAGCCGUAACACAGGUGCUGCAUGGCUGUCGUCAGCUCGUGUCGUGAGAUGUUGGGUUAAGUCCCGCAACGAGCGCAACCCUUGUCAUUAGUUGCCAUCAUUAAGUUGGGCACUCUAAUGAGACUGCCGGUGACAAGCCGGAGGAAGGUGGGGAUGACGUCAAGUCCUCAUGGCCCUUAUGACCAGGGCUUCACACGUCAUACAAUGGUCGGUACAGAGGGUAGCCAAGCCGCGAGGCGGAGCCAAUCUCACAAAACCGAUCGUAGUCCGGAUUGCACUCUGCAACUCGAGUGCAUGAAGUCGGAAUCGCUAGUAAUCGCAGGUCAGCAUACUGCGGUGAAUAGGUUCCCGGGUCUUGUACACANCGCCCGUCACACCAUGGGAGUGGGGGAUACCAGA
Molecule: ribosomal RNA, 810 nt
Filed under: uncultured bacterium
Lineage: Bacteria
Description: bacterial SSU rRNA
Rfam family: Bacterial small subunit ribosomal RNA
Source: RNAcentral